Coccinella septempunctata (seven-spotted ladybird) is the source of this 1295-nucleotide long non-coding RNA. RefSeq lists it as uncharacterized. NCBI's taxonomy places the organism in Eukaryota, Metazoa, Arthropoda, Insecta, Coleoptera, Coccinellidae. The transcript is spliced from 3 exons. The record is from RefSeq and is a predicted model, not a curated record.
UGGCCGUUAAUAUCUGGGAUACAAACAACUGGUGAGGAUUCAUUGCCCGUGAUAAGACGUAUAAUACGUCCGAUGGAAACAAAUGGGGCUUUCCAUGGAUUACACGGAGCAACCAUUUCUGGAUCACUUCUACUCUUUUCAUGUGGCAUUCGUAUGCUCCGCCCCAGGCAAUAAUUCCAUACUUUAUUAGCGAUUGGCAUAGAGCAUUAUAUAUCUGCAUAAGCUUUUCUAUGUCCAGAUACUUUUUAAGGUGUCUAUCGAUUGUAAUGCCGAGAUACUUGAUGGAGUCAGUUUCGGGUAUUGGUGUGAAGUCGUUGACUUUCAGAGGACCCAAGUUCGGGAGACCUGACUCAUAGGAAGUAAAUGGUUUGGAUCUGCCGCAGAGGUUAUCCACGUAAGACCAAAGGGAUUUUGUUGUUGAAGUGUAUUUCGCGACAAAGGUGUUCAUGUAAUCUCUUUUAGCGUUCCUGAUCAACUUGUGUAAAAUAUUUCUGUAUCUUGUAUAUUGUUGUUUCAACUCGAUAUUAAAAUCAUGUUCCACCAUUUCCUUGUAUAAAUUGUUUUUCCUGUUUAUGGCUUUAAGUAAUCCUUGAGUGAUCCAGUCGCUUUUCCCAGAUUUCCUAUGGCUCAGCCUAAUUUUUGUUGUAUGUUUCUGUGUGUAAUGCCUUAUAAGAUCAAUAAACAAUUCUGCGAAUGAGUCUACAUCUUUAUUCUUCAUCAAAACGUGCCAAUCAAUUCCCUUUAAAUCAUUUCUUAAUUGCUGAUAAUUAAUAUAAGUUUUGUAUCUAAUUACUCUUUCGGGAGUUUUUUCUUUCAGGUUGAGGCAUAAACUAAUUGUAUAGUGAUCAGUGAUUCCCGUACGAACAAUGAACGAUCUACUCUGGUCUACAACAGAUUGUCGACAUCCCAGAAAUAUAUGGUCUAGGCAACUACCACUAGAAGGCCUAGUUAUAUCAUUUAUAUAUGAUUUGUAUCCAAAAAAACUAAAAACAUUCAUGUAUUCAUCAACUAUUUCAUUGUUCGUUAAAAGAUCAAUGUUAAUAUCUCCUACAACUAAAUGAUAAUCCCACAUACUCUUAUUACCUGUUGUUUCAAUGUAGUCCGACAAAUCUCUAUUAAACUUUUUUGGACAUCCUUUUGGUGAACGAUAGAUUCCUGUUAUUUUAAGUUUUUUAUUUUCAAAUACAAGGUCUAAUUCCACCGCUUUAAUUUCUCCAAUACUUAUUACAUUUCCGUUGAACAUCAAAUCGUUCCGGACAUACACCACAACCCCAUCAUUUUUGUUACAAGCUCCA